This is a non-coding RNA of Brachypodium distachyon (stiff brome), 87 nucleotides long. The record is from RefSeq and is marked provisional. Lineage: Eukaryota; Viridiplantae; Streptophyta; Magnoliopsida; Poales; Poaceae.
AUUAUGUGUGCUAUUUUCUCGGAUCAAUAUUACUUGUCGUUGGUUUAGUACAACUAAUAUGUAUCGAAGGGAGUAGCAUUUUCUGCA